Molecule: ribosomal RNA, 425 nt
Filed under: uncultured bacterium
Lineage: Bacteria
Description: partial 16S ribosomal RNA
Rfam family: Bacterial small subunit ribosomal RNA
Source: RNAcentral
GUGGGGAAUAUUGGACAAUGGGCGCAAGCCUGAUCCAGCCAUGUCGCGUGAGUGAUGAAGGUCUUAGGAUUGUAAAGCUCUUUCACCGAUGAAGAUAAUGACGGUAGUCGGAGAAGAAGCCCCGGCUAACUUCGUGCCAGCAGCCGCGGUAAUACGAAGGGGGCUAGCGUUGUUCGGAAUUACUGGGCGUAAAGCGCACGUAGGCGGAUAUUUAAGUCAGGGGUGAAAUCCCGCAGCUCAACUGCGGAACUGCCUUUGAUACUGGGUAUCUUGAGUAUGGAAGAGGUGAGUGGAAUUCCGAGUGUAGAGGUGAAAUUCGUAGAUAUUCGGAGGAACACCAGUGGCGAAGGCGGCUCACUGGUCCAUUACUGACGCUGAGGUGCGAAAGCGUGGGGAGCAAACAGGAUUAGAAACCCUAGUAGUCC